ACUCCGGUGGACAUUCUAGAAAGACCCCCACUCUAAAAAAUGACUACGAGUAACAUUUUCCUCUUCUUCCCUAGUAUAGUAUUGUCUCAAAGCCCUAAUCCAAGUUAUGGAAAUCUCCAAUUUCACUAAAUUCAAUCAAUACAUAUUUUCCUUCAACAGGUAUUUCUUAUGAUUUAAAUUUCUUAUCUAUGCGACCUUAAUUUGUGUUUGUAAUCCUUUUCUACUUUACUUGAAUUUGGGGAUUAGUGAAUUUUGAUUGAAAAAAUUGAAUUUAUAUUUGGGUUAGGGCUUUGAUUUGAAGGUGUACGAACUAAUUCAUGGCGUCGAAGCGCAUAUUGAAGGAGCUUAAGGAUCUGUUGAAGGAUCCUCGAAAGCUAAUUCGGAAAUGAAAGAAAUCACCCACAUUAUGCGGCACUGGUAUGUCGGCUCUACAUCCUAUUUUCCCUCCCACUUCCACAUCCUUUUGAUUUUCUGAAUUUGUCUUGAUUGUUAACUCGCCUUAAAUAAAAUAUGGUGUGGUCUUAUUUUUCACUAUAAAUACGACACCUCUUAUUAUACAAGGGAUAGACUUUGAAGUUCGAUAAUUUUUCAUACUCAUUGCUUAAGAAAUGCUACUGGCCAAGACUCCUUAUUGUGAAACUGCUUCUAUUUUACUGAUCAUUAGUGCUCUGCUGAAGUAAUUUAAAUUUAAACGUGAUAAUUCUUGCUGGGGUAGAAAGGAUUCAGGUAUGUUUCUAGACCUUAUGUGUGCCUAGUUUUUGGUUUAAUGGGUGCAAUAUGGGAGAACUGAUCUCUAUUAUGCUGAUAUGGAUACUAAUAUCGUUUAUGUUUUAUGGGGAAAUAGCCUCUCUACCUUUGAGGUAGGAGUAAGGUUUGCAUAAACUUAUUUUACCCGCUGCCGAGCUCUAUCCUGGCCGAAUUCCUUAAUAGCCGAAUGCAUAUUGAAUUACUUGUCGAGCUUCAAUACAUUCCUCUCUUAUAAUAUUCUGCUUUGCUAGAAGAUGGAUGUGCAACUGCAACAUAACAGUUAGAAGCUUGAUACUUCUUAGUGUGCACUUAUGUGAGGCAAAAUUUUAUCAAUUAAAGGUGCAGUGGUCGACGUCCGGCAAUGGUGUUACCAACUUAAUAAAUGGAUAGAUACGAAAAAGUUUAUAAUAUGGUGUAAGACUUUCCAGUUUCUGUUAAUUAUCUCAUGUUAAGUUUUCUUAUCAUAAAUUUAGAUAAAUUAUUGAGCCUUUAAGUAUGUAUUUUGUUUUUACAUAGCUAAGAUAAGGCAACAUCUUGUACCAAAAGUAAAAGCACCACAAGAUUUGGCAAUGUCAUUACUUACCCGUCCCCUAAGAAUAACAUAGUUUAUUUACCACAAUACUACGCCUUAGUACCAAAUGAUUAGUGUUGACAAUGAAAUAGUUUGUUCAAAAUGAUCAAACAGUUUAGCUUCAAGAUGAACUCCAAAGUCCAUGUACUCUACAUGUGGAGAAAACUGAUGUAUUAACAUUUCCUCUAAGAAUUUAUUACAAUUCUCAUUAUCCCAAGAAAUAUUAAUAUGAUUGGAAAUUUCUUUUGUGUUGUGUAUUAACAAACUUCUAAUGAAACCUAUCUACAAUAUGUGCAUGAACUCUUUUGGACAAAUAUGUGGUUCGUGAUGUGAUUCUCUACGGAAAACAACAUCUCUGCCUUUCAAUGAAGGGGUAAGGAUUGCAUAAACAUUACCUUGUCCAGACCCCAGUUGUGGGAUUACACUGGGUAUGUUGUUUGUUGUUGAAUUGAGUUUUCUUUCCGUAAAUCAUCGCACCGAUGGUCUCUGAUUCAAGUUCAGGAUAACCCAACUACACAAAGAAACCGUCCAUAAAGUACUUUUUGGGAGAGAUUCAUCCUUCUUGAACGCAAUAUUAGACUCUCCACCAAGUGUGCUUGUUCUCCCUCCCCCUCCUCUUGUUUCUUAUCUUGACAAGUCUUUAUGAAAUAACUCUGAUGAAAAGAAAAAAGAAAGUGUUAAAGAGAAAUUCGUAUUUCUCACCUACUCAGACUAGUUGUUAGACUAACCAUUUCACUUUUUUUUUUUGGUUAAACUACCUAUUGGUAGUUCUGUACACGUGUUUUAGCAAAUUAAAAAUUGCUCUCUGUACACGUCUAGUUGAAAAAUUCUCAUUCUUAUUUAGAAUGAAAGGAUUUUUCAUGAAGAUGCAUUAGUAUUUGAAUCUUGUAAAUUUCUCGUUGAUUUAUUGUUAUCAUUAUAACUUGUUUCAAAAGUA
RNAcentral lists this long non-coding RNA (2255 nucleotides) under Solanum tuberosum (potato). RNAcentral describes it as "long non-coding RNA (STUB_LNC008447)". Lineage: Eukaryota; Viridiplantae; Streptophyta; Magnoliopsida; Solanales; Solanaceae. The record is from RNAcentral.